AUUGAACGCUGGCGGCAGGCCUAACACAUGCAAGUCGAACGAGUGGCGGACGGGUGAGUAAUGUCUGGGAAACUGCCCGAUGGAGGGGGAUAACUACUUGAAACUGUCGCUAAUACCGCAUACCAUCGGAUGUGCCCAUAUGGUAUUAGCUAGUAGGUGGGGUAACGGCUCACCUAGGCGACGAUCACUAGCGGGUCUGAGAGGAUGACCAGCCAUACUGGAACUGAGACACGUGCCAGACUCCUACGGGAGGCAGCAGUGGGGAAUAUUGCACAAUGGGCGCAAGCCUGAUGCAGCCAUGCCGAGUGUAUGAAGAAGGCCUUCGGGUUGUAAAGUACUUUCAGCGAGGAGGCGUUACUCGCAGAAGAAGCACCGGCUAACUCCGUGCCAGCAGCCGCGGUAAUAC
This 406-nucleotide ribosomal RNA is filed under the name uncultured bacterium. RNAcentral's name for it is "partial 16S ribosomal RNA". It matches the Rfam family "Bacterial small subunit ribosomal RNA", at positions 30 to 526 of the family's 1533-position model. The record is from RNAcentral.